Molecule: ribosomal RNA, 626 nt
Filed under: Calochromus sp. UPOL A00617
Lineage: Eukaryota; Metazoa; Arthropoda; Insecta; Coleoptera; Lycidae
Description: eukaryotic LSU rRNA
Rfam family: Eukaryotic large subunit ribosomal RNA
Source: RNAcentral
GGAGUCUAGCAUGUGCGCGAGUCAAUGGGACUAGCGAAACCUAAAGGCGAAAUGAAAGUGAAGGUCGGCCUUGCGCCAACCGAGGGAGGAUGGGCCGCGUCACGACGCGGCCCCGCACUCCCGGGGCGUCUCGUUCUCAUUGCGAGAAGAGGCGCACCCAGAGCGUACACGCUGGGACCCGAAAGAUGGUGAACUAUGCCUGGUCAGGACGAAGUCAGGGGAAACCCUGAUGGAGGUCCGAAGCGAUUCUGACGUGCAAAUCGAUCGUCGGAACUGGGUAUAGGGGCGAAAGACUAAUCGAACCAUCUAGUAGCUGGUUCCCUCCGAAGUUUCCCUCAGGAUAGCUGGCGCUCGCUUUUGCGAGUCUCAUCUGGUAAAGCGAAUGAUUAGAGGCAUUGGGGUCGAAACGGCCUCAACCUAUUCUCAAACUUUAAAUGGGUGAGAUCUCCGGCUUGCUUGAAGUUGAAGCCGCGAGAUCGGAUCAGAGUGCCAAGUGGGCCAUUUUUGGUAAGCAGAACUGGCGCUGUGGGAUGAACCAAACGCAGAGUUAAAGCUCCUAAAUCGACGCUUAUGGGAUACCAUGAAAGGCGUUGGUAACUUAAGACAGCAGGACGGUGGCCAUGGAA